GUUGGCAUUGAUCGGUCGCUUGGCGCCCUUCCAACUUCCAAACCAAACAAACACCUAGAAGAGAAGCCUCUGAAUAAAGUUGAUGAAAAAAAUCUCAUACAUUUUGUUCCUCCAUCCAUCACUUUUCAGUACGACACUACCUUCUACACACGGAUUCGAUGGUGGCAGGAGAGAUGGUUGAAUCGGAUAUAUGUCCAGCCGAGGAUGCUGUUCAGUCCUUCUUGGAGUACUUGGUUGAGCAAAUGCUUCCGGCUAAAUCUUUUCUGCAGGGCACUCCAUCGCAGUCUCUACAGCAAUCAGUCGCAAAACAGCUGCAUGCCAUUGUGUUACUGUACAACUACUACCUAAGGAAACGACAUCCGCAGUUGGAAGUCUUGGGGUUUGAGGCCUUUUGCAAAUUGGUUGUGAUUCUGAAACCGGCGUUAUUGGCGCAUAUGAAACUCAUGCAAAGAUCUGACGAUACCGAAUUGGAUGACUUGGAGAAACAGCUUUCAGUUACAGAGAGAACAAUCAUGGAAGCAUGUGAUAUAUCCACAAAAUUAGACGCAUCAAACGAUGUUCCAAAUAUAGAGGGAUGGCCAAUGUCCAAAGUUUCAGUACUCUUAUUUGACUACAAGAAGGAGAACUGCUUCUUGCUAUUCAGUUCCAUCACCCAGGGAGUUUGGUCUGUGAUUGAAAAAGAUGUUGACAUCUCUAACCUCAAUUCAGAAGGUCAAGUAGAGGCAAAACAGAUGAACAGGAAGAGAAGACUCAUUAGAAAACCUUCUAAAGAAGACCCAAAUGUCAAUGAAUCUGCUUUGCUCCAGCUUGCAUAUUUAGCUGUUAAGGAGGCAACGGGUAUUAAUCAGACUGAACUAGUGGUUUCGGAAAGCCAUGUUGUAUGUUCUCUCAGCAAAGAAAAGACAGCUCUUCGCUUUUAUAUAAUGUACUGCACCCAAUCAGUCAAUGAGGAGGGAUUUCAAGUUCCCAUUAAAGAUGCUUUAGAAAGCUUGCAGGGUCCUUUGGUCAGAAAAAGCUCCAGCAGAUGGAUGGUUACACCAGUUGUUAAGUACUUCCACAUGCUUCCUUAUGCUGGCAUAGUGUCAACCUGGCUUUCGAGGGAAGUGGCUUCAGGUUUGCAGGAUGCAAGAGUGGGAGGGGGAAAUUCGAACUUGAAUGGCCCUGACAGGACUGAGAACGAUUUAAGGGUGGGAAAAGGAAAUUCAAAUUUAAAUAGCCCUGACAGGACAGAAAAACUCUGCAUUCCAGAAAUCCAUAAAAGUGGAAACAGUCCUCAUAUAGAUGAUGGACUAGUAGGGAUUUUUUGCAACGAGACAAAGAGCAAUGAUACUGAAUCACUUGAGGAGAAGAAUAAGAAUGUAUGUUCAUUGACUGGCUUGUCCGGUUCUCUCAAUAGGCCUCACAACAUGGAUGUUAACGAGUCUUUUAUGGUUUCCUCCCAGAAUGGAGAGAAAUGCAAGAAGAUUGCAGAUACUAUCCAAGUUGACAAUCAUCAAGAAAAUACAAGUAACUUUAGGGAAAGUGAUUUAAAUGGCUCAACAAGUAACAUCGAAGUUAAGGAUGAGAUGGAGGACUCAAUGGUGAGGCCUGGCAUUACUGAAUGCGGUGGUAAACAAAAUGCUGAUGGAAAUAGAACCUACGACAAUAUGUUGACAGCUCAAGAUGUGAUAGGUGAUCAUGAUCUGGUCACUUGUCAAUCCAAUUCGAUAAAUCUUUACAAAUUGCAGAAUACCAUAGCAUCAAAACAAAGCGACUUGUCACCCUCUGCUUUGAGAGUUCUUCUUAGAAAAAGGGAUGAACUGUCUUUACAGCUACGCAAGAUAGAAGAUGAAAUUGCUCAAUGUGAUAAACAAAUCCAGAAGAUUUUAAAUGGAACUGGAUAGUGUGUCAUCGGAACAAUUGGAUACUGCCGACUUAUCAUGUAUUGACAUCAGAUGGUGGAUUCAAAGCUGGAAACUGUAGUUGAAGUUUCCCGAUAGUUUUGCAGUAAACUCUUUCAUGAAGUCUUUCACGUAAUUCAUGAAAUCACACUAUGUUUUUUGUCAAUUGGCGGAUCCUUUUACAUGAUAUGCUGCUUGUGUUACUUGAAAUGCAAGAUUGAACUUUUAUAAUUUCUUGGAAGAGAUGAAAAAAUAGCAAACAUUGAAAGAACCGAGGACCAAAUGUUUUGUUCGAGGAACUUUAUAUACGCGUGAUUAGAGUAAAAAUAUCUGACAAAUUUUUUUUUUUUUUUUUUUUUUUUUUACUGCAAAGCAUAAAAGUGUUAAUUAACAUUAAUAUAUUUUAAUGAAUAAAAGGAAAGAGCAUAGUCUCCACAGUGCCAUCAAAACAGCGAAAGUAAUCCAUCCUGCCUCAUAACUAACUAAUUAAUUUACUUCCCAAAUGGCAAAAGUAAACGUUACCGAUCGAGAAUAUAACCCACUUCACUUCAGAAAUGAUUCCAAAGCAAUACAGCUCCAUACAGAUUGGUGGGAAAAACUGCAAACCAUCAAAAUAAUGGU
Molecule: RNA transcript, 2501 nt
Organism: Juglans microcarpa x Juglans regia
Lineage: Eukaryota; Viridiplantae; Streptophyta; Magnoliopsida; Fagales; Juglandaceae
Exons: 10
Source: RefSeq, a predicted model, not a curated record